GUGAGUAACACGUGGGUGAUCUGCCCUGCACUUCGGGAUAAGCUUGGGAAACUGGGUCUAAUACCGGAUAGGAGCCAUCUUUAGUGUGGUGGUUGGAAAGUUUUUCGGUGUAGGAUGAGCUCGCGGCCUAUCAGCUUGUUGGUGGGGUAAUGGCCUACCAAGGCGGCGACGGGUAGCCGGCCUGAGAGGGUGUACGGCCACAUUGGGACUGAGAUACGGCCCAG
RNAcentral lists this ribosomal RNA (224 nucleotides) under uncultured Actinomycetales bacterium. RNAcentral describes it as "partial 16S ribosomal RNA". It matches the Rfam family "Bacterial small subunit ribosomal RNA", at positions 106 to 334 of the family's 1533-position model. Lineage: Bacteria; Bacillati; Actinomycetota; Actinomycetes; Actinomycetales. The record is from RNAcentral.